AUUGAACGCUGGCGGCAGGCCUAACACAUGCAAGUCGAGCGGUAGAGAGGUGCUUGCAUCUCUUGAGAGCGGCGGACGGGUGAGUAAUGCCUAGGAAUCUGCCUAGUGGUGGGGGGAUAACGUUCGGAAACGGACGCUAAUACCGCAUACGUCCUACGGGAGAAAGCGGGGGAUCUUCGGACCUCGCGCCAUUAGAUGAGCCUAGGUCGGAUUAGCUAGUUGGUGAGGUAAUGGCUCACCAAGGCGACGAUCCGUAACUGGUCUGAGAGGAUGAUCAGUCACACUGGAACUGAGACACGGUCCAGA
This 306-nucleotide ribosomal RNA is filed under the name uncultured bacterium. RNAcentral describes it as "bacterial SSU rRNA". It matches the Rfam family "Bacterial small subunit ribosomal RNA", at positions 30 to 335 of the family's 1533-position model. The record is from RNAcentral.